Molecule: ribosomal RNA, 471 nt
Filed under: uncultured bacterium
Lineage: Bacteria
Description: bacterial SSU rRNA
Rfam family: Bacterial small subunit ribosomal RNA
Source: RNAcentral
GGACGAACGCUGGCGGCGUGCCUAACACAUGCAAGUCGAGCGGGGUCCAUCCGGUAGCAAUACCGGGGAAGACCUAGCGGCGAACGGGUGAGUAACACGUGAGAAACCUGCCCCGAAGUCUGGGAUAACCCGAGGAAACUCGAGCUAAUACCGGAUGUCUUCUUCUGAUCGCAUGGUCGGAUGAAGAAAGAUUUAUCGCUUCGGGAGGGUCUCGCGGCCUAUCAGCUAGUUGGCGGGGUAACGGCCCACCAAGGCGUCGACGGGUAGCUGGUCUGAGAGGACGAUCAGCCACACUGGGACUGAGACACGGCCCAGACUCCUACGGGAGGCAGCAGUGGGGAAUAUUGCGCAAUGGGCGUAAGCCUGACGCAGCAACGCCGCGUGCGGGAUGAAGGCCUUCGGGUUGUAAACCGCUUUCAGUGGGGACGAAUUCAGACGGUACCCACAGAAGAAGCCCCGGCCAACUACGUG